Molecule: ribosomal RNA, 1440 nt
Filed under: Lacticaseibacillus rhamnosus
Lineage: Bacteria; Bacillati; Bacillota; Bacilli; Lactobacillales; Lactobacillaceae
Description: bacterial SSU rRNA
Rfam family: Bacterial small subunit ribosomal RNA
Source: RNAcentral
ACAUGCAGUCGAACGAGUUCUGAUUAUUGAAAGGUGCUUGCAUCUUGAUUUAAUUUUGAACGAGUGGCGGACGGGUGAGUAACACGUGGGUAACCUGCCCUUAAGUGGGGGAUAACAUUUGGAAACAGAUGCUAAUACCGCAUAAAUCCAAGAACCGCAUGGUUCUUGGCUGAAAGAUGGCGUAAGCUAUCGCUUUUGGAUGGACCCGCGGCGUAUUAGCUAGUUGGUGAGGUAACGGCUCACCAAGGCAAUGAUACGUAGCCGAACUGAGAGGUUGAUCGGCCACAUUGGGACUGAGACACGGCCCAAACUCCUACGGGAGGCAGCAGUAGGGAAUCUUCCACAAUGGACGCAAGUCUGAUGGAGCAACGCCGCGUGAGUGAAGAAGGCUUUCGGGUCGUAAAACUCUGUUGUUGGAGAAGAAUGGUCGGCAGAGUAACUGUUGUCGGCGUGACGGUAUCCAACCAGAAAGCCACGGCUAACUACGUGCCAGCAGCCGCGGUAAUACGUAGGUGGCAAGCGUUAUCCGGAUUUAUUGGGCGUAAAGCGAGCGCAGGCGGUUUUUUAAGUCUGAUGUGAAAGCCCUCGGCUUAACCGAGGAAGUGCAUCGGAAACUGGGAAACUUGAGUGCAGAAGAGGACAGUGGAACUCCAUGUGUAGCGGUGAAAUGCGUAGAUAUAUGGAAGAACACCAGUGGCGAAGGCGGCUGUCUGGUCUGUAACUGACGCUGAGGCUCGAAAGCAUGGGUAGCGAACAGGAUUAGAUACCCUGGUAGUCCAUGCCGUAAACGAUGAAUGCUAGGUGUUGGAGGGUUUCCGCCCUUCAGUGCCGCAGCUAACGCAUUAAGCAUUCCGCCUGGGGAGUACGACCGCAAGGUUGAAACUCAAAGGAAUUGACGGGGGCCCGCACAAGCGGUGGAGCAUGUGGUUUAAUUCGAAGCAACGCGAAGAACCUUACCAGGUCUUGACAUCUUUUGAUCACCUGAGAGAUCAGGUUUCCCCUUCGGGGGCAAAAUGACAGGUGGUGCAUGGUUGUCGUCAGCUCGUGUCGUGAGAUGUUGGGUUAAGUCCCGCAACGAGCGCAACCCUUAUGACUAGUUGCCAGCAUUUAGUUGGGCACUCUAGUAAGACUGCCGGUGACAAACCGGAGGAAGGUGGGGAUGACGUCAAAUCAUCAUGCCCCUUAUGACCUGGGCUACACACGUGCUACAAUGGAUGGUACAACGAGUUGCGAGACCGCGAGGUCAAGCUAAUCUCUUAAAGCCAUUCUCAGUUCGGACUGUAGGCUGCAACUCGCCUACACGAAGUCGGAAUCGCUAGUAAUCGCGGAUCAGCACGCCGCGGUGAAUACGUUCCCGGGCCUUGUACACACCGCCCGUCACACCAUGAGAGUUUGUAACACCCGAAGCCGGUGGCGUAACCCUUUUAGGGAGCGAGCCGU